RNAcentral lists this ribosomal RNA (705 nucleotides) under Fusarium oxysporum. RNAcentral describes it as "SSU rRNA". It matches the Rfam family "Bacterial small subunit ribosomal RNA", at positions 297 to 977 of the family's 1533-position model. Lineage: Eukaryota; Fungi; Ascomycota; Sordariomycetes; Hypocreales; Nectriaceae. The record is from RNAcentral.
AGGCUGAACUGGCACUUGGAGAAGUGGCAAGUCUUCCAGUAUGGGGAGCAAAACAGCUAUGGGUCAAGUCCGAUAUCUUUAGGAGAAGUCUUAUUGUGAGGGCGAGUUAUAUAACACCAUAGGACUGGCCGUCCCAUAUGAAAAGAUUAUAUUAGAAUUGAAUGAAGCUUUGUUUAUAUAUUGAUAAUGACAGUAUAUAUAUCGUGUCUUGACUAAUUGCGUGCCAGCAGUCGCGGUAAUACGUAAGAGACUAGUGUUAUUCAUCUUAAUUAGGUUUAAAGGGUACCCAGACGGUCAAUAUAGCUUAUAAAAUGUUAGUACUUGACUAGAGUUUUAUGUAAGAGGGCAGUACUUGAGGAGGAGAGAUGAAAUUUCGUGAUACCAAAGGGACUCUGUAAAGGCGAAGGCAGCCCUCUAUGUAAAAACUGACGUUGAAGGACGAAGGCACAGAGAACAAACAGGAUUAGAUACCCAAGUAGUCUUUGCAGUAAAUGAUGAAUGCCAUAGGUUAGAUUGAUCAAUUAUAGUCUAGGGUUAGUCUAGCAAACUAAUGCCCUAUGAUAUAAUUCAAAAUAUCUGGUCUAUAAAUGAAAGUGUAAGCAUUUCACCUCAAGAGUAAUGUGGCAACGCAGGAACUGAAAUCACUAGACCGUUUCUGACACCAGUAGUGAAGUAUGUUAUUUAAAAAAAAAACUCCCACACACA